UAGAAGGGCCUAAGGCUAAGAAUGGCUGC
This 29-nucleotide non-coding RNA is filed under the name Rattus norvegicus (Norway rat). The record is from RNAcentral. Lineage: Eukaryota; Metazoa; Chordata; Mammalia; Rodentia; Muridae.